GCCUUCGUGGCCUAACGGAUAAGGCGUCGGCUUCCUAAGCCGAAGAUUGCGGGUUUGAAUCCCGUCGGAGGUA
Molecule: transfer RNA, 73 nt
Filed under: Dendronephthya gigantea
Lineage: Eukaryota; Metazoa; Cnidaria; Anthozoa; Malacalcyonacea; Nephtheidae
Description: tRNA-Arg
Rfam family: tRNA
About the family: Transfer RNA (tRNA) molecules are approximately 80 nucleotides in length. Their secondary structure includes four short double-helical elements and three loops (D, anti-codon, and T loops).
Source: RNAcentral